Molecule: RNA transcript, 1898 nt
Organism: Cydia splendana
Lineage: Eukaryota; Metazoa; Arthropoda; Insecta; Lepidoptera; Tortricidae
Gene name: zinc finger protein 92-like
Exons: 9
Source: RefSeq, a predicted model, not a curated record
UGUUUUUUUUUUAUUCAGUUUAGAUUUAUUUUUAUUGUGAUUGAGUGUAUUUAGUUGUAAAAAGUUGUGAAUAUAUUUUUUUGAACCCUAUCUUUAUAUAAUGGCGGUAUACAUAACUAAAUCAAUGCUCUCUAAAUUCAACAAAGCCAAAUAUCCCUCUACUUUCAGUAAUGAAGACGAUGGUAGUAACAACAGUGAUCACUGGCAAAAACUUGUAGCUGACUGUAAGAAAAGUGUGCGCCUGGAGAAAGAUAUGAUAUGUCGAAUCUGUGCCAAAGGUGGCUGCACACCACUAACCGAAAAGGUCUUCGAUUACGACAUCAUGAGUGCCAUAAGAAGUAUAACAAAUGUCUCAGUUUCAGCUGAUGAUGCCUUGCCUAAAUACAUAUGCUCUGUAUGUCUGUACAAUUUAAAGACAGCAUUAACAUUCAAAAAGAAUUGUGAGGCUUCAGACCGAAAGUUCCGUAAGAUUUUACAUCCCAUGGGUGACCCAACAUUCCACUCAUAUCCAUAUUCUAAACAUGACUUCCAAUUGAUCCUCCAUGACAUGAAGAAGAAAAGAAUGAAGAUUGAAGAAGCAAGAAACAGGGAGCUGAAGAAACGGGAGAAGAUUUCCAUGAAGAAAGCUCCAAGGAUUAAGCAAUUCAAAUGUUCGCCCUGUGACAUGUCUUUUCCUGAUAAGGACAAGUUAAUGGAGCAUCGACGCGAGCGUCAAUGCAUGCGGCGCGCGUGCGAGCUAUGCGGCCAACUCGUGCUGUCCAUCACACAGCACAUGCGGCACAUUCACAAGCAGACCGUGCCGCAUAAAUGCAAUACUUGCGGCAAGGAGUUCCCGAUCAUUGCGCGCCUUAAGAACCACAUGAUGGUUCACACAGACACAUUCAACUUUUUCUGCGACCUGUGCCCGUACAAAUGCAAGCACAAGUACUACCUGGUGAUGCACAUGCGUACACACACCGGCGAGAAGCCGUAUAAGUGCACGCAGUGUCCCGCCACCUUCGUCAACCCGUCUAACCUGAAUAAGCACAAGCUCACGCACCAGGAGAAACAGUUCAAGUGCAUGAUGUGUGAGAAGGCGUUCCGUACGAACGCGGCGCUGCGCGAGCACCACGAGGCGGCGCACAUGAACAUCAAGCACACCUGCAACUACUGCGGCCGGGAGUUCUGCUACAAAUCGGACCUCCGCAAGCACGAGAUACGCAACCACAACCGCACCAAACGCGACUACAUCGGCGGCGAGCCCUCCUACAAGCAGGUCGAGCGCAUGCAGAAGAUACAAGAAAGUGCUGACGAGAUGGGGCAAUGGCGGCCGGAAAUCGUGGCACAACCCACCACGAUCGUGCAGGCUACUUACAUAGACCCGGCCACGGAGCUACAGAACAAUCAUCAGUUGUACUUCGCCGAUGUCACUGGGAUGAUUCAACAGCAGCCUACUAUGGGUAAGUUACAUGUCGAUCGAACGCAUACAGAAGACACUGAACGAACCUAUGGUGGCCCAACCCACCACGAUCGAGCAGGCUACUUACAUAGACCCGGCCUCGGAGCUACAGAACAAUCACCAGUUGUACUUCGCUGAUGUCACUGGGAUGAUACAACAGCAGCCUACUAUGGUGCAACAACAAACAGUGCAGCUGGCCUUGCCUGACUUGGAAAUGAAAAAGGAUGAAGUGAAAAUAUAUGAAGCACAAGGAAUGGCAUACUACUAGUAACAACUUUAUACAUAUAGUGAAAUAAAUAUUAGUCUAAUAUAAUUAGCCGUAGUGUAGAUGAAAUACCCAAUAUUUAACCUUUUCAUCGCCAUUUUAUUUACUUUUAUAUUGAUUUUAAUGAAUAUGUUUGAUUAUUUAAUACGAGUAUUAUCUAAUUUAUGUAGUUAAUAAACUUAGAAUUUGUAUAAA